GAUUCUAAAACCCUAAGAAU
This 20-nucleotide small nuclear RNA is filed under the name Arabidopsis thaliana (thale cress). RNAcentral's name for it is "snRNA_17708". Lineage: Eukaryota; Viridiplantae; Streptophyta; Magnoliopsida; Brassicales; Brassicaceae. The record is from RNAcentral.